RNAcentral lists this ribosomal RNA (858 nucleotides) under uncultured bacterium. Its description in RNAcentral is "SSU rRNA". It matches the Rfam family "Bacterial small subunit ribosomal RNA", at positions 524 to 1381 of the family's 1533-position model. The record is from RNAcentral.
UACGUAGGGUGCAAGCGUUGUCCGGAAUUAUUGGGCGUAAAGAGCUCGUAGGCGGUUUGUCGCGUCUGCUGUGAAAAUCCGAGGCUCAACCUCGGACCUGCAGUGGGUACGGGCAAACUAGAGUGCGGUAGGGGAGAUUGGAAUUCCUGGUGUAGCGGUGGAAUGCGCAGAUAUCAGGAGGAACACCAAUGGCGAAGGCAGAUCUCUGGGCCGUAACUGACGCUGAGGAGCGAAAGCGUGGGGAGCGAACAAGAUUAGAUACCCUGGUAGUCCACGCCGUAAACGGUGGGAACUAGAUGUGGGGUCCGUUCCACGGAUUCCGUGUCGCAGCUAACGCAUUAAGUUCCCCGCCUGGGGAGUACGGCCGCAAGGCUAAAACUCAAAGGAAUUGACGGGGGCCCGCACAAGCGGCGGAGCAUGCGGAUUAAUUCGAUGCAACGCGAAGAACCUUACCAAGGCUUGACAUAUAGAGGAAAAGUGUAGAAAUACACUCCCCGCAAGGUCUCUAUACGGGUGGUGCAUGGUUGUCGUCAGCUCGUGUCGUGAGAUGUUGGGUUAAGUCCCGCAACGAGCGCAACCCUCGUUCUAUGUUGCCAGCACGUAAAGGUGGGAACUCAUGGGAUACUGCCGGGGUCAACUCGGAGGAAGGUGGGGAUGACGUCAAAUCAUCAUGCCCCUUAUGUCUUGGGCUUCACGCAUGCUACAAUGGCCGGUACAGAGGGCAGCAAUACCGCAAGGUGGAGCGAAUCCCAAAAAGCCGGUCUCAGUUCGGAUUGAGGUCUGCAACUCGACCUCAUGAAGUUGGAGUCGCUAGUAAUCGUGAAUCAGCAACGUCACGGUGAAUACGUUCCCGGGCCU